CCUACGGGUGUGCAGCAGUGGGGAAUAUUGGACAAUGGGCGAAAGCCUGAUCCAGCCAUGCCGCGUGUGUGAAGAAGGCCUUCGGGUUGUAAAGCACUUUCAGUGGGGAAGAAAGCCUUGGGGCUAAUACCCUCGAGGAAGGACAUCACCCACAGAAGAAGCACCGGCUAACUCCGUGCCAGCAGCCGCGGUAAUACGGAGGGUGCGAGCGUUAAUCGGAAUUACUGGGCGUAAAGCGCGCGUAGGCGGUCUGAUAAGCCGGUUGUGAAAGCCCCGGGCUCAACCUGGGAACGACAUCCGGAACUGUCAGGCUAGAGUGCAGGAGAGGAAGGUAGAAUUCCCGGUGUAGCGGUGAAAUGCGUAGAGAUCGGGAGGAAUACCAGUGGCGAAGGCGGCCUUCUGGACUGACACUGACGCUGAGGUGCGAAAGCGUGGGUAGCAAACAGGAUUAGAUACCCGGGUAGUC
RNAcentral lists this ribosomal RNA (466 nucleotides) under Vreelandella stevensii. RNAcentral's name for it is "partial 16S ribosomal RNA". It matches the Rfam family "Bacterial small subunit ribosomal RNA", at positions 338 to 795 of the family's 1533-position model. The record is from RNAcentral. Lineage: Bacteria; Pseudomonadati; Pseudomonadota; Gammaproteobacteria; Oceanospirillales; Halomonadaceae.